GGCUCCUACGGGGCGCAGCAGUAGGGAAUCUUCCACAAUGGACGAAAGUCUGAUGGAGCAACGCCGCGUGAGUGAAGAAGGGUUUCGGCUCGUAAAGCUCUGUUGGUAGUGAAGAAAGAUAGAGGUAGUAACUGGCCUUUAUUUGACGGUAAUUAAUUAGAAAGUCACGGCUAACUACGUGCCAGCAGCCGCGGUAAUAAGUAGGGGGCAAGCGUUGUCCGGAUUUAUUGGGGCUAAAG
This 239-nucleotide ribosomal RNA is filed under the name uncultured bacterium. Its description in RNAcentral is "partial 16S ribosomal RNA". It matches the Rfam family "Bacterial small subunit ribosomal RNA", at positions 334 to 565 of the family's 1533-position model. The record is from RNAcentral.